GCUGAAAAUAUUUUCUUUGCCUCUUU
RNAcentral lists this non-coding RNA (26 nucleotides) under Rattus norvegicus (Norway rat). The record is from RNAcentral. Lineage: Eukaryota; Metazoa; Chordata; Mammalia; Rodentia; Muridae.